AUAUAGUAUAUAUAUACUCCACAUAUACGUAUAUUAAUAUGGAUGGAUUUAAAAGAGCUUUUGUCACUGGGUUGUUGUGGGGAUGGAAGGCAUUACUGUGUAAAAUCGAGUGGUUAAUUAAUAAUAAUAUUAAUAACUAACAUUUCUAGAGAGCUUUAAAGUCCGCAAGGCAUAGUUAAGAAUAGCAGGUAAUUGGAUCCUCCCAGCUGAGAGGUAGAUGCUAUUGUUCUCUCUAAAAGGAAACUGAGUCAAAUAGAAAUUGAAAUGCCCAGGAUGAAACAGCUAGUGAAGUGCCUAAAGCAAGAUUUGAACUUGGGUCUUUUUGAUGGUCCCCAUAUUUGGGGGGAGGAGAGGAAAAAUGAGAUUAGUUGCAGAGGAGAGAGGGGAGGAAGUAGAGAUUCAGCGUUGCCCAUCCAUGGCGGUAAUAAAGAACCCGGAUUGGAAGUGGGUGCGGAGGAAUAUAGGCAAAACAGCAGAGGCUUUGGAGGGAGAAGACCUGGUGGUUUUCCAUACACAAGAGACCGGGGAUAAGUCACUUAAUUAUUCAACAUUUAUUAGGCACCUCCUGUAUGCCAGGCACUGUGCCAAUUGAUUGGGAUAGAAAAAGAGGCAAAAGACAGUUCCUGGAUGUCUUCCAAGUGGCCAAAGAUGACCCUUGAGUUUCUCUGGGGCUUUAAAUCUAGAUCCUUAGGUGGGGAAAGUCACUUUCCCUUUCUGGGUAGCAGUUUUCCCGUGGCUCAAAGGGGGAGCAGAACCCCUUUUCCUGCCUUUUGAUAGUUUCUGUAAGCCUCAGGUUUGAGGGGACUGGAAGUUUGUCAUCGUUCUCAGUAACUUCCAACUAGCUUGGAUAUUUUGCUUUCAAGUUUGCAGUCACGCUAUGUCAAAAAUAAGUGCCUACUAUGUGUCAAUAUCCACACAGUAGUCCUUGCUCUCAACGAGCUCCCAAUUGAAUGGGGGAGAAGCAUACAAGUGAUUCUGUACAAACAAAGGACAGGCCAGGAUAAAUCAGAAAUAAUCCGCAGAACAAAGCAUGAGCGUUAGUGGGAAUCGGGAAGGGCUUCUGGCAGAAAGAUGGGAUAUGGUCUGGGACGUGAAGAAAGCCAGGAGGCAGAGAUGAAGAGGAAGACUAUGCCAGGAGUGGGGGGGGGGGGGGGGGAACAGUCAGUGUUUUAUAUGGGUUAUCUCGUGUAAUCCUCACAAUCACCCCGUUUUGUGGGUCAGAGGUGUCAAGAGUGAGCCCGUCUGCUGUGGGUGCUUCUAAAUGCUUCCUAAUAGAACCCUAAAUCAGAUGAAAAUUAAAAUGUACUGGGGAACUAUUUCGCAGAAUAACUAAAAACAGAAUACAUUUUGUCAGUUUGUGGUUUUUCAAGUCAAUAUGUACCUGGCAGGGAUCCUUUUGUAGGGUUUUGUGGGGGAUUUUUUUGUAUUGGUUGGCAUGUUUCUCCUUCAGCCCAUUUUACAGAUGAGAAAACUGAGGCAGAGCAGAAGUGACUUGCUCAGGGUCAUCCAGCUAACGAAUGUCCGAGUCGGAGAUGAACUUUGGAGGAUAAGGAAACUGGAAAUCAGUCUCCAUCAAGGUCAGGCGGUGAUAUCAGUGACAAAGCUGGAUUUGAAUCAGAUGCUGCUCUUCCCCCCCCCCCCCCCCCCCCCCCCCCCCCAGUCACCCAGCCAUUAGGUCCUUCCCCUUUAAGGUUAUCUACCAUCCUCCAAAAAAAAUUAAAAUGCCUUAUCUCCGCAUUCAAAUGUAAGCCCUGGGAGGGCAGGGGAUUAUUUGCUUUUUCUUUGUGUCCCAGCCGGCAGCUGUUGAUAGAUCACCCUGGAAUCCACCCUUUUUCUUUCUUUCCUAGGGUCUUACCUCAUCCUUUUUGGGAGGGCAGCCAGUCCCUGGUGUUAGGGGCGGCCCAGACCCGGGCCCAGAACCCUGAAAAUCUGGCCCUGGGGCGGGCGCCUUGCUCCAGAAUUCUCAUUGGCGCUGCUCCCUGCCCAACCUCCCUCCUCCUCCUCUUCCUCUGUCACUGCCCUCAGCUCUAAGUGUGGGCAAAGUGCCUUCGGCGUGUCCAUCCCCACAGCGCCCAGUGACCGUCAGAGUCAGAAAGGGGUGUGGCGCGGAGGGGACAAGGUCCCUUUUCCUUGGGAUUAGGAGAAAAGGUUAGUGGGUGAGAGGUCAGGGGAACUCUGGAGUGCUUGGCUGGACUGGCCGGGGAAGACCGGAGUUCCAAUUCUGGCCCUGCUGAUAACUUGGGAUGGGGGGAUGGAAGAGGAGAAGUCGGGAGCCCUGGGUUCCAAUCCUCAGCCUGCCGCUGACUUAGCUGCCUGAUGCUGGGUGAGUCCCUUCUCCUCCCUUCCCUUGGGCCUUGGUUUCCUCUUUUGUAAAAUAUGGGUAUUGAGCUAUGUGAGCUCCACAUCCCCAGGCCAAACAUCUUGGGAUUCUAUAGAUCUGGGAUAGAAUUCUGUACAGAUCCUGGAGUCUACCUGUCUAUGUGACCUUGAGCCUCAUUUUACUCAUCUGUAAAAUGGGAAUAAUAGCAGGAACCCCUGGUCUUACUGCGAGGCUCAGAUAAGUGCAUGGAAAAUGUUUUGGAAACCUUCAAGAUGUAGAGAGAGGGAUGUACCUGGUACUGGCAGAAGGAAAUCUGCUAGUGCAGGUGGCACCUUCCCUGGAGGGCAGCUCCGUGGCACAGUAGAGAAGAAGGCCAGGCUGGCCACAGGGAGGACUCAUCUGCCUCAGAUACCUACGAGGUGGGUAACUCUGGGCAAAUCCCUGCACCCUGUCAGCCUCAGUUUCCUCAUUUAUAAAAUGAGCCGGAGUAGGAAAUGGCCAAACCAGUCCAGUGUCUCCAUUGGCAAUGCCGGGACAGGCCUGAAAUAACUCAGCAGCAACAACAACCAGCUGCUUUAGAGAAUUGGAAUUUAAUCUAUAGAGAAUUUUGAGAAUGAACAGCUAAGCACUGAGCAGGUAAGUGACUUAUCUAGGGUCACACAUUCAGAAUGUAUCUGAACUAGGCCAUAUACGCCUUCAAUUAUCCGUGGCUUUUUUUGUUCUUUAAAUAGAGUGUCCACCAAUGUGGUGGCAUAAGUCAAGAUGGCACUGGGGUGGUCAGCUCACUGCCCUUUCCCCAUCCUACUCAUCUAGAUCCUGUUUCUUGAGAAGAUCCCUGUCCAGAGCUGGAGGGCAAGAGACCAUGGGAGAGCGUCACAGAUUUUGAGUCACAAGGGAACUUAGAGUUCUUCCAGGGGACGGCUCUCAUUCCUCAUCCGGUGAAAGUAAAGGAUUCUGGGUUAUCGGAGCUAGAGAGAACUUUGGAGAUCAUUUAGACCAACCGCCACACUUAACAAUGUAAGAAACUGAGGCUGCAGUGAUGUCCCCUAGCUGUUGUCUAGUGUGGGAAGCAGGCUUCGUGGUCAGCUUUGAGCUCCCUACAUCAUAGUAGAGGGCAUGGCUGUGGGGUGGAGGCCAUGACUGGUGUGGAGGCCAUGACUGUGGUGUGGGUCCUGAGACAGAGGCAGAGAAGUAGAGGGACUUAAGGUGGGACAUGAGGAUGUUGGCUGAAGAGCGUCCAGAGGAGAUGGGGGAGCUUCUUACAAGGAGCCUUGCCUGCUGCCUUAAUGCUGCUGCUUGCCUUCUGCCCCACAUCCUGUUUGCUUGCUGUCACCCCUUUUAGCUUUUUCACUUUGAGUGGGACAAGUGAGGAAAGUGCCCAAGAUGAGGCCCGAGGAUGGGCAGGGGUCUCCGCGAGAGAUCACUUUCCGUGAUCUUCUUCCCUCAGACACUUGCCUCUUCCACACUUCCCCAUUAUGGCCAGAGCAUCCUUCCUGUCACCCAGGGGUGUGACCUUGGAAUCACCUCAGCUCUUCAUCCUCACUCACUCUAUGAAGUCCAUCAGUUUCUAGGUCUAGAAGAGCCAGAAAGAGCAUCCCUUGCCCUCUGCUCCCCAAUCGCCCUCUGCUCCCUCUCCAGGGAAGUAACCUUUGUGGCCUCUAUAAGCACUGGAACCCUCACCUCCUCAGAUGUGGAAAAGAAAAUGUUCCUCACCAAAGGCCUCCGAGGGCUGUCAAAUGGUUCAGCCAGAAGUGGACGUGAUUUUAUUUGGAGGAAAUUACUAGGUGCUUAAUAAAGGCUUCUUCUCAUCCCCCCUUUUGCGGUCAUACCCCGAGAAUCAAUGAGCGCUUCCAUCGUCCCUGCAGCUGGACCAUCCUCUCCAUGUUGUCCCCUGUGUUCAAAUGUGAACCCCUUGAGAUCGCUGACUCUCUUUUCUCUCUAUCUCUGCAACAUUUAGAACACUGCUUUGCAUCUUGUGAAGGGUUUUAAAUAAACAAUUGUUCAUUCAUUCGUUUAUUUUAUUUCUCUCAUUUCGGUGACACACAAGUGGCCCAGCCAUCCCUUCGUUUGGGCCCUCUUUGCCUUUUGCCUGGAUUAUUGCCAUGUUACUUUGCA
Molecule: long non-coding RNA, 4435 nt
Organism: Sarcophilus harrisii (Tasmanian devil)
Lineage: Eukaryota; Metazoa; Chordata; Mammalia; Dasyuromorphia; Dasyuridae
Exons: 3
Source: RefSeq, a predicted model, not a curated record